This is an RNA transcript of Lagenorhynchus albirostris (white-beaked dolphin), 4227 nucleotides long. It is a transcript of the gene named BCL2 like 11, with no coding region annotated. The transcript has 5 exons. Lineage: Eukaryota; Metazoa; Chordata; Mammalia; Artiodactyla; Delphinidae. The record is from RefSeq and is a predicted model, not a curated record.
AUGUUCCCGGCGGCUGCGGCCGGGGUAGCGCGUACCGGAGACGCGGCGUGCGGAGCCCUCAGCUGCCCGGCGGAGCGCGGCAGCGGACGGGCGGCGAGUUGCAGGCUCUCCGCUGCCCCGGGCGCUCCGACCGCGAGUCCCGGGCUUUGUCUCCCGGGCCGCCUUCGUGUUGACGGUCAGGGGGCUCCGGGUCGGCGAAGGGCGCGGGCUGGGCGCCGCCGGGCCCCGGCCCGGACGCGACGCUCGGAAGGGAAGGGGCGGACAAAAAAAGACCAAAUGGCAAAGCAACCUUCCGAUGUAAGUUCUGAGUGUGACAGAGAAGGUGGACAAUUGCAGCCUGCCGAAAGGCCUCCUCAGCUCAGGCCUGGGGCCCCCAUCUCUCUACAGACAGAGCGGCAAGGUAAUCCCGAAGGAGAAGGGGACCGCUGCCCCCAAGGCAGCCCACAGGGCCCACUGGCCCCACCGGCCAGUCCCGGCCCUUUUGCUACCAGAUCCCCGCUUUUCAUCUUCGUGAGAAGAUCUUCCCUGCUGUCUCGAUCCUCCAGUGGGUAUUUCUCUUUUGACACAGACAGGAGCCCGGCACCCAUGAGUUGUGACAAAUCAACACAAACCCCAAGUCCUCCUUGCCAGGCCUUCAACCAUUAUCUCAGUGCGAUGGCUUCCAUGAGGCAGUCUCAGGCUGUACCUGCAGAUAUGCGUCCGGAGAUAUGGAUUGCGCAAGAGUUGCGGCGUAUUGGAGACGAAUUUAAUGCAUAUUACCCAAGGAGGGUCUUUCUGAAUAAUCACCAAGCGGCCGAAGGUCCCCCACAAAUGGUUAUCUUACGGCUGUUACGCCACAUCAUCCGUCUGGUGUGGAGGAUGCAGUGACAGCGGGUUCCUCACGGAGCCGGGAUGUGCGGACAUUUUGCUCGUUCAGACCGACAAGCGCAGCACCUCGGUGUCUCGGUGCCCUUGCUGUGCAGCCCGAGGUCCCUCGCUGGAGGGGGCGGGCGGGGAGCCUGCCGGCGUGUCCGAGCUGCACGUGGACCUGACCUUGUGUUUCAUCAUCACCACGCGGCCGAAUUUCUAACAGAAGCUUGUUGUGAAUGUAAAUGAGGGAGGAUUCUCUUUUUAAACAAUGUACAAAUCAUGGUUCUUUGGAGCAGGAUUUUAUGCAAGAAUGGUGUUUACAUGCCGUUUUUUUUUUCCCCCCCACCUUCUUUGAUAAGAACAGGUUUUUCAAAAAGGAAACGGAAACUUUUUAACCAACUCGUGAGUGAUUUUUGUACUAAAAUUUUAAGAACCUUUGCCUACUCUCAGAGGAUUGUGUAAACUCCACGGUGGAAACUGAGCCAGCUGAUUUAUAAAGCUGCCUUAGUUUAUUUUUAGAGGUCACCGUACAGCAUUUUUAAACAGGAGAGGUAUGAUGUGGCUCCUCCCUUCCCUGCCAUUGCUUCUUGGACCUUUUUUUUUUUUUAAGUCAUCAUUAUUAAUACCAAAAAAGUUCUUAUGAAAUGGAACUGGUAAAAGGGGCAGAGGGGUCUCUUGUCAGCCUGUAUUGACGUGCCACUCCCAUUUUGUAAAUAUCUACUUACCUCCUUAAAUUCAGUUGCAUCUGUGGCAAAAUUUCAGACUCUCUUUGUGUUUCUCCUUACGUCCUUUGGUGAUGCUCCUCCAGCCUGUUGGACGCUGAUGCACACAUUUGGUCCAGUGUAUUUUCAUGGUCAAAAGUAUAAGUGGGUCUGAACAUGAGUUAGUAUCUGCCUGUAUCAGACACAGGUCUGUUUGUCUAUUGGUAGCUUACUCACUGGGAGGUGCUCGAUGUUGGUUUUCGUUUGGUUUUGACGGGCUUGUCGUUUAGAAGUGUUCUGAAGAGGCAAUGGCAGUCGUAACACAAGGUAUGCACUGUUGGCUUUUCUGGUUGCAGGCCUUCCCACAUCACAGGACGGACUCUCAGCCUGAGGCCCCAGGUGGUUCACAUGCCCACGUGCAGCUGAGUUCCGUCGAGGUAUCCAAGCUCGAGCCCUUGUGGGAAUCGGCGCAGGCUAUGGGCGGGACUUGAGACAGCUGUUUCCUGGGCAUCCUGGCUUUUGGUCCAACUCAGAGUUCAUCUGGCUUUUGAUGGCUAACACUCGGUUCCCACUCUCUGAAAUACAGACUUAAUUCUGCUCUCAGCAGUUCCAUAAAAAACCCCGUUGGACACAAGUCUGAAAUGGUCCCUUGGCCUUCUGACAGAUGUCUGUAUCACUUGUUCCACUUCCCUUGGGACGGCUGGAUUUCGUCAGGCCCCCUUCACGCAGCCACUUCUGUUGGGGAUGCCCUUCCUCCGCGCCUGCCGCGAUUAUGGCAGAGAAUGGAAGCCCACGAGUUGGUCAGUCUUUUCAAAGGCAGUUAAACUACUGGGGAGACCCAAGAAAGAUUAGGGGGCAUUGAAAGAGGGGAGGUAGAGAUCGUUCUGUGAACCCCAUCACUCAUAGUUUUAGAAACCUCAGAUCAUUAAACAGCUUUUUAAAAAAAGAUACGUGAUUUUUCAGAUGAGUCAACAGUGCCAACAACAGCUGUCGUAUUUGCUUUUGGCCCAUCGAGAACCAGUGUUUUCACGUUAUCAGUUGGAAAAAUUGAUUCCUUUUGUAUCUUCAUAAUUUUAUAUAAGUAUAUAUAUAUAUAUAUGUUGCAUAUACACUUUCUUCUUAGGUAGAGAUAUUUGACUCCAAAUAUUCUUCCUUCUAAAAAUUUUCUUUUCCCCAGAUAUCUUCUUGGGGUCUUGAAUUGUUUUAAAGCUGUGUUGAGUCUCAGCUUGUGUCCUUGACAUGUCUUGAACCCCUCUGCAGGGUCCUCAAGUCCACGCGGUUGUUAAGGUGGUUGGUGGAAUUGCAGCCGUGGGCCUGCUGGACACACACACCAAAGACGUAUUUGGUUCUGGGCCGCUCCCUUCCCAGGAUCUCUAUACGGGCCAGUCUCUCGGACUGGAGCACUUUAUUCUGUUCCUUCAGCCCUGGUGCCCGGGGGCUGAGCGCUCGCUCGCCCACGUGCAAGUUUACCUCGGGCUCGGCGGCCUCCAGGCCCCCGGGCUGGCCGUGGAAGCAGCUGGUGAGGAAACUAGAGAUUCUAUGAAUUGUAGAAGUAUUAAGAGGAUGUUGCCCCAGGACUUAAGAGAGGUGACUGGACGUCUCUGUACUGUACGUAUCUGUUUAUCAAGAUGCCUCCCUGCAGAAAGUAUACCCACUGUGGGUGUACCUUUGACUUCUUAUUUUUCCUUUCUUUGACUUUUUAUAGAGAAAAAAAUAACUCGAUCCCUUUUUGGAAACUGAAUGCGGGUUUUGUGCCUUGACCACCUCGUCUCACGUGAGGUUUGUAGAAAGUGUCCUGUGACUUUUCACAGAAAUGCAAUAAACACACACGAAAUUAACUUCAAGAGUGAAUCUGCAAAUCACCUGGACUCCUGUUUAUGAAGAAUUUUUUUUUUUUCUUGGUUGUGGAGAAACCAGGUGAAAAUUUCUUCCGAGUUAAAAAAACAAAAACAAAAUGUACACAGUAGACGACAGCCGUCUCCUGUUUCCCCUUCUUAAUAUUGUAUAUAUUUUGACUAUUUAUUAGAUUAGGAAGUCAUACUUUACUUAUCAACUGAGCCAAACGUCUGUGUGCAAUUAUUAUGUUUCCUUUACCUUUCUUGUAAGAUUUUGUACAGCAUAAAUGAGUAAAAAAAAAAAAAAAAAAAAAUUCACUGUUUUUACUAAACUUUUUCAGAAUUGAGGGUUGUAAAUAUUGUAGAUUCUUUUUCUGUGUAAUGUGUCCUACUGUUUCAUGAUGCUGUAACUUGUAGAGAUGUUGUAUAUUUAUUUCCAGCUUAUUUAAUGUCUUAAAUUCUGAAAAGUGUUGACCUCCCUGACCCCUAGCCCCUGCUGUCCUGUUAAUUGCUUUAACUCGAGGUGGCCACUGGUUACCUCACUGCAGGCCACGCGGUCUCCCCGGGGUGGCCCUCCAGCUUUGGUUCCUGGUAUUUCUAGUCAAAUGGGUUUAGAUUCGUAGAGUUUGCUGUCCUCAUGAUGAAGUUUGUGUUUAGAUACCAGUGAGAGACCAUAAACCUAGCAGGCUGUCAAAUUCUACUCUAGAACUUUCCAGUGACUUUCUCUUGUUCCCAAAUGGCUAGCUUCUCAUGGAAGCAAAUGCUGUUAACUCCAGGCCGUAUUUUAAAGCCAAAAUAUAUACGUGUGUGUGUGUGUGUGUGUGUAUGGGUGGGGCGGGGGG